AAGUCGAAGGUCUGGUUCUUUUAGAUCGGAUGGGGGGAGAGACCUUACAACGCCCUUAUGUGCCCCCACAGUCAUGUCAGGAACAGGAGGAGAACCUCAUCCUGACAUGAGCAAAGUCGAAGGCUCGAUUCUUUUAGACCGGAUAGGGGGAGGAACCCUUGCAAUGGCCCUUAUGUGCCCCUGCGGCCCCAUCGGGAAUAGGAGGAGAACCCCAUCCUGACGGUGAUGAAACCCGACCGCCCG
This 243-nucleotide long non-coding RNA is filed under the name Elaeis guineensis (African oil palm). RNAcentral's name for it is "long non-coding RNA (EGUI_LNC053246)". Lineage: Eukaryota; Viridiplantae; Streptophyta; Magnoliopsida; Arecales; Arecaceae. The record is from RNAcentral.